GUCCCGCCUGCCCUGUGUUUUUUCCACUUUCGGCCGCGCGGUUUUUGCGGGUCGAGGGGCGCAACCUUGGUCUUUGCGGUACCUGGAUUGUGGGCUUUGAGGGGUUUACUGGCUCCUUCUUCUGGGCCUCCGAACUGGACCGCCCCGGGCAAAACCGGGAAUAUAUCCCUAAAAGAAAAAAACCUAUGGAACUUUUAAACCCCACCACCCACCAAGAUAUCCCCCAUGAAGGUACGCCCCCCAACUUAAUGGCGCCAUGUCCUACUGCCUUCGGUUGGACCGACCAUGAAUAAGCACACCCCCCCAAUGCUGAAUAUGAGGACCUCCCACUAUCUUCCCCCUCCUCCCAUAACAAAAAGCUUGAACUCUAAUGAACAGAAUUUCUGACCAUACAUGAACCGGCUUACCCCGAUCAACGGACCAAGUUACCCUAGGGAUAACAGCGCAAUCCCCUUUUUUGCCCAUAUCAAGUAGGGGGUUUACAACCUCGAUGUUGGAUCGGGACAUCCUAAUGGUGCAGCCG
Molecule: ribosomal RNA, 523 nt
Filed under: Carangoides uii (coastal trevally)
Lineage: Eukaryota; Metazoa; Chordata; Actinopteri; Carangiformes; Carangidae
Description: partial 16S ribosomal RNA
Source: RNAcentral